CAGCAGCCACGGGAAUACGGAGGGUGCAAGCGUUAAUCGGAAUUACUGGGCGUAAAGCGUGCGUAGGCGGUUCGUUAAGACAGAUGUGAAAUCCCCGGGCUUAACCUAGGAACUGCAUUUGGAACUGGCAGGCUAGAGUCUUGUAGAGGGGGGUAGAAUUCCAGGUGUAGCGGUGAAAUGCGUAGAGAUCUGGAGGAAUACCGGUGGCGAAGGCGGCCCCCUGGACAAAGACUGACGCUCAGGUGCGAAAGCGUGGGGAGCAAACAGGAUUAGAUACCCCGGUAGUCCCUGUCUCUUAUAU
Molecule: ribosomal RNA, 301 nt
Filed under: uncultured bacterium
Lineage: Bacteria
Description: partial 16S ribosomal RNA
Rfam family: Bacterial small subunit ribosomal RNA
Source: RNAcentral